GUCUAAGUAUAAGCGUUAUACUGUGAAACUGCGAAUGGCUCAUUAAAUCAGCAAUAGUUUCUUUGGUGGUGACCUACUACAUGGAUAACCGUAGUAAUUCUAGAGCUAAUACAUGCGUAAAUCUCGACUCACGAAGAGACGUAUUUAUUAGAUAAAGACCGACCUCGUUCUGCGGUGAAUCAUAAUAACUUCACGGACCGCAUGGCUUUAUGCCGGCGGUGUUCCAUUCAAAUUUCUGCCCUAUCAACUUUCGACGGUAGGAUAGAGGCCUACCGUGGUGUUCACGGGUGACGGAGAAUUAGGGUUCGAUUCCGGAGAGGGAGCCUGAGAAACGGCUACCACAUCUAAGGAAGGCAGCAGGCGCGUAAAUUACCCAAUCCUGACUCAGGGAGGUAGUGACAAGAAAUAACGGACCGAGGCCUUCGGGCUUCGGGAUUGGAAUGAGCCGAAUUUACACCCCUUAGCGAAGAUCGAUUGGAGGGCAAGUCUGGUGCCAGCAGCCGCGGUAAUUCCAGCUCCAAUAGCGUAUAUUAAAGUUGUUGCAGUUAAAAAGCUCGUAGUUGGAUUUCUGGGAGGGUGCCGAUGUCCACUUAACGUGUGCGCAGCGGCGCCCUCUCAUCCUUCUGUUAGCGUCUCUUGGCAUUCAUUUGCUGGUGGCGGGCUCAGAUAUUUUACCUUGAGAA
RNAcentral lists this ribosomal RNA (683 nucleotides) under uncultured eukaryote. RNAcentral describes it as "bacterial SSU rRNA". It matches the Rfam family "Eukaryotic small subunit ribosomal RNA", at positions 57 to 763 of the family's 1831-position model. The record is from RNAcentral.